Hemicordylus capensis (graceful crag lizard) is the source of this 6078-nucleotide long non-coding RNA. RefSeq lists it as uncharacterized. The transcript has 3 exons. The record is from RefSeq and is a predicted model, not a curated record. NCBI's taxonomy places the organism in Eukaryota, Metazoa, Chordata, Lepidosauria, Squamata, Cordylidae.
ACUCGAGUAGGGCCCAAGCAAGCCAGGAAGGAGGAGGCAGCCUGAGUGUUCUCUGCAGCAGAAGACCCCUUGCUGCCCUGCUUAACCCAGACCAGCAUUUGCCAGGAAUCUUUGUGAUUCAGAUUUGGUGUUGAAUGAUCCUGUUUCCAGGUUUGCUGGCAAGGGGAACACAGCGUCUCAGAGGGCAUAGUCCUAGUCUGAACCACAUAUCUCUUGGCAUCAAGCCCUACUAACCAGACAGCUCUUGGUAAGGCGUUCAUAACAUGCAGAUGGCCACUCUGUAAUAGCUACAGAGUUUUUCUCUGGGACAAAAUUACUUCAGCACAGUGAACUUAGCUGCAUUCAAGCAGUCGUCCUUAGCAGCAUUUCUUCUUCUGGGACAACAAAGAAAACAACUAUAUCCAGACUCUACACCCCGUGAGCUUCAUUUGUCAAUGGCUGAAAGUUGCUUCCUCUCUCACCUAGGCUAUCAGGCCCACAGAGUCCUGUCUCUUCUCCAUGUCCAGAGGGGCAUAGGAGCCUGAAUUCCGAGGCCUAAUACCACUUUCCAGCUGAAGAAAGAAUUGCUGAGGCUUUAUAAUGGUGAUUGACAAUUUCAUUUUUAAGCUGUUUAUCAGUUUACACUCUGCCCAUCAGGUACCAAAAGAACAUGACAACUCUUGUCAGUUAAACAAAAGAUUUGGAUGACAGCAUUUCAGCUGAAUUUUUUUCCCCACCUCGUACUCACUGCAUCAAUACUGAUAAAACAAUUCCAUUCAUUAUGCCCAAAAUAAAAUAAAAUAAACAACUGGUUGAAAUCCUGACAGGUUAGAUGAAUAUUGAAAAAUAGCAAAACUAACCUAAAACUGCACCUGAUCCCAGUUCUUCAGCACUUUCAAAAUAACCUGUCGAGAUUCAUUAGGAAUCAUUUUAUUGGUUGAAGACAAUAAUCAAAAAUGGUUGUUCUGUCAGUGGAAGUGAGUCACCUUCCUGCUGCAAAUUCUUCAAGGCAGGGGUGGCCAACCUUAGGCUCUCCAGCUGGACUACAGCUUCCAUCAUCCCCAGCUGCAGUUGUGGCUGAGUCUGGGAAUGAUGGGAUUUGUAGUCCAACAAUAGCUGGAAAAUCUCGAGUUGGGCACCCCUGAUCUAGGACAAUUCUUUGUUGAACUGUAAAGCUGAAGCAAUACAUACUCAAAACACGAGGGACAUAAUUGUUUUGGAUCUAAUUUAUAAUUAUGGAACUAGAAGGGACAAAAUAUACCUAGUUUCAGCCCCAAAACACAGGACUACUAACUCACCCACUUACCCAAGGCAAGCCAACCCGGAGCAAUUGGAAGCAACUAAAUUAGAAGCAACUAAAGGAACUUCCUUCUGAAACACAGGCAGCUGUUACCUUCAUUCCUGUCUUGUAGGCACCCCGGCAAAGUCCUUCCCAUUCUCAUUGGCUUUUAGUAGCAUUGGUUAGCCUUUUGGUACUUUGAUUACCCCUGAUUGAAAUACAGCAACUGAAAUAAUUUUAUCAGCUGUGGUUAUAGAAUUUUAAAAAAUGGUAUUUAUGUGCUGUCUUGUUCUUGUGGAUUAUUUUAACUAUUUUUAUGGAUUAAUUUUGAUUUAUUUGCAUGUUGCUUUUGUGAGGUGCCUUGGGACGUCUGUGAUUAGGCGGGACUGAUCGACUUGAUUAAUGGGCCGGCUGAUUUUACAUUUUUAAAAAAUGAUUUUUAGGACAAGAACUUAUAAAACUGCAGAUGAGAAGCAAGCACAAUCUAAAAAGCAGCAUUCCUUCUUGCAUGAGAGAAAAGGCAGAGAAGGCAAAAUGCCAAGAUGAUGCCUCUGUCAGUGGCACAUGAGCACGUAAUCGAAAACAAAGGGAAUGCACUUUUUCCCUUUAGAACUCUUUUUCUUAUAUGCAGCUCUAUAUAGAUGUAAUCAAUUAAUUAAGCAUAUGAUUAAUCCACAAAGACAGUCAUAGUUUGUCCGAACACAAGAUGAUUGUGUUCCUUUUUAGCACACUGUGCCAGAAGCCACAUAGCACAUGAGAUGUCAGCUAGAAAGGCUCUAGACUAGCAGUCUCCCCAUUGUCUGGUCUUCUGUGCAGAAGGAAUCCAUGUAAGAGGCUUCAGUGCCAGAGUCAUAAUAGACUUUCUAAUUUGUGUUGCAACAUUUAGCGGCUUGGGCUGUAUAAAGUGAUUAAAAACCUUUUGAUUGAAUAGAGAGAUGCCACUGAUUAAUCAGACAGCAGUUUUCUUUUCUUUUUUAAUGGUGGCCAACAUUCUUCUCAGCCCUCCAGUGACAGAAGGAGGGCUCUGGGUACUUAAGGCGACUUCGCUGAAGACUUCUGCACUGAAGGCUUCUUUCCACAGCUGACUGGGUGACGAGGGGGAUUGAUUUCUGUGUCUCUCCUCUCACUCCAAAAGCCUUUUCCACUUAUAUUUUAUCGAAAUAUAAUUAUCUAUAGAUUUAUACCAGUGGAAAGGCCUUUUGGAGAAAGAAGGGAGACAUGACCAUCAUUCCUCCUUCAUGCCCAGACCUAUGCGCAAGAAGCCUUCCAGAGAGCGGCAGAAAAUGUCAUUUACUAUUAUUUUUGAUCAAUUUCUUUUUUCUUUUUUUUUAAAGUUGGCAGCCACUACAUUCCCACUUCUUAUACACAAGGGAGUGCCUCUUCCAAUAUGGCGCCUGUUCCACAUGUGUGCAUACCAAGUGAAGAAUGCAUUUUAAUGCGGAAGUAUUGUUUUAUUCACAUGCAUAUUUAUUCAGAUGUAAGUGAUUAAUCAAGCAAAUCUUAUAUGCUUAUUUGACUAAGAUUUCUUUAGUCGUGUGACAUUCCUAAAAGAAAUCAUGUCAAUUUGGUUACAGCAACCAAAUACUGAUAAAUUUUGCCCAGUAGGUGUCAUCACCGUGCUGUUACAGUGCAGAGUGUGUCUACAUUUCAUUUUGAAUGGGCCAUAAAUAUUCAGUAUGAAAUAUACUGAGAUGUAAAAUAGCAGGUGCAGCAAAUUUGUAGUGAGGAUACAGUUAAUGGGUGAAAGAUUCAAUAUUCCAUCUAGUGAGCAAACAACUGUAUAUAAAAACUCCAUCUGUAGCUCUUUAUAUUUUGCAAGAAUUUUUAAUACAUGAUUUAUUUUAAAAUACUGAUAUCUUUGUUUUAGAACAUGGUUUUAUACAAUUAAGUGGCAACAUGUUUGAAAGCCAUUGAUACACAUGUAAAUAUUUGAUUUGAGUAAUUUUAGGGUCUGCAUAGUUUGUGACAAGAAAACUUCUUUUCUGAAUUAUUCCAUGUUCUUCUUCCCUAUCAAUAUUCCCCCCUCAGCCAACAAUUACACUGAUUUUCUGUGUUCUUUCUCCGCACCCUUUCUUUCAUCACUUUUGACUUCUUUUUCUUUUAGUAACUCUGCCUUUGAGACAAAUAUACCCCAGCAAAUAGUUUUAAAAGCAACAUACUUCCAUUACUUUAAUACCUUAGCUUGCUUAAUUUUUUGUGCAACUUUGCUUGUGGUACCUGUUUGUUCAGACUAUAACUGGUACGGGCUUGAUUCAUAUUUAGAUUUGCAGUAUGCUUUCUGAAGCACAAAUUAAUAUGGGGAUUUAUGGCCUCAUAGAAAUCCAUAGGAAGUCUCAAGAAUUACUGCAUCUUAAAAUCUUCUGUCCCUCAUAACUGACAAUUCCCAUCAUUGUAUUUGUCACUGCUGGUUGCCAUAGAAGGGCAUGGUUUUAUUAAAUGCAGGCAGAUGCAAACUAUAUGUUACUUUCUAAGAUAAUACUGAAGCUGAAACCAAUUAACUCUUGGCUCAAAUGCACAGCUAGUGUAAGACGACACCAGUCUGUUAAAAUCAGUGGCAACACUAUUCCCUGUAUCUUAAAUUAAAGAUGAUGGGAUCUGCAAUAAAUUAUACACGUAAAGCUGUGUAGACAGAUGCCAGCAGAGAGCUGUCUCAACAUAAUGUCUGGCAAGUCCUUAGGACUUUAGCAUGUCUCAAGCAGUGAGUGUCUGCAUUGGUUUAUUCACCAGUGUUUCCAAGCUAUAGCCAGCUUUUCUCUUCGUCGUGUGACAUUACUGGAAAAUCAAUUGGCUAAUGCCUCAUUUCUGUGGCAUGUCUACUAACAGUGAACUUCUAAAUCCUAAAUGCUAUUAUGGCUUGUAUCACACAAUGUUAGAAUUUCAUUCCUUUUUAAAAAGUAAGAAAAUAUAUUCGGCUGCUUGAAGCUGAUUUAAAAUCAGCGUGUUGGCAGGGCCCAUAGGAAUUAGUAGAGGUAAUGACUGGAGGCCACUGCGGGAUGGUGCAUUCCUCAUUUCUUCCACUGUAUCACAAUUACUGUCAAUUACCACUAUCACAAGUGAAGGAUAUUUGGAUCAUGUUCCUUCCUUAGCCCCUUAAAUACUUAAGGAAAUUCUUGCCUGUCUUUUCUGGGUGGUGCUAAGCCAAUGGGCAUUGCAUCCAUCCUUGGGCUUUCCUGAUCUUCCCAAGAGAAAGGAAAUUCAACUCUGAUCUUAAGGCCUCCUAUUUCCAUAGAAAGGAGGAUAUUCUUCAACUCUCCAAGCAGUAUUGCAGCCAUUCUGUAGCUGCUAGUGAUCCUACCCUUCUUCUGAGGUCAAAGGAGUAAAUGCCCCAAUGAAUGAGUGUUACUAUGUGGCUGACAAAGUCUCAUGCCAAAAUGCAAGAUUUCUAAUUGGGACAAACUGCUGAAAGGAAAGGAAGAUGGCAGGAUUAACUGAGAAUAAAUAACCGAUUUACAUGAUAAUGUUUCAAUGUUUUAUUGACUAGCAUAUUUGUAUUAAAAUUAAUACAGUAUAAAUACGUUUUUAAAACUUCUCUCUGCACUAUUAUAUCUGUGAUUGCCCAUUCAUACUUCUGAUCCAGGCAUUGAUGUUGCAGUCAACAAGAGCUGAAUGUUUCUGUGUGGACCAGCCUAUGGUUUAUAAGAUAGCAUUGUGCAACAUCUUCUGCUCCUGUAAUCCAUGUCUCAGCUCCAUGUCUCUAUCUUCUUUUAAAGUGAAGAUCUGUAAGUUCUGUGUACUACUGCUCAACAUAUUCAGUGUUAUGGGUUUAGGAAUCACGCUAAAAGAACUGCAGUGAUACCUUACGUAUCAGUUUGUAUUUCUAUCCCUAGGGAUUCCAGGCACUUCCAAUCACCUUAAAACAUAGUUUAAUUACAACAGCAGCAACAAAAAAGGAAACCCACACUUUUUUUAAAAAGCCCACAAUGUACCGUUAUACCUAGGAAGAUAUCAGAAACCCAUCCAUGGUUUCACAUAUAGGGGCAGCCAACUUGCCAAAGAAUAAGCCAAGUGUGUACAAACAAAAGAAGUGGUUCUAAUAAGAGGAUACUGAAAGCUUUCAGAUGCGAUUCACUCUAUGCAAUGUUAACCACUUCAUAGAAGUGCGGGAAUGGGCUCUGAUCCAGAAAAUCUAGGCUUCUGCUAGGUUUAAAAGGUAGCUUACAAUAUGGCACAGGGAAACAACUAUUGAGAACAGAAAGCAAAAAGCCCCACUAUUUGUGGAGAUGGCACAUAAAGCAGCUCUCUAGAUCACCUCUAAUCUAGCUCUGUUAAAAUCAAUUGAAAACAUUCCCAUUGACUUCAAUGGAUGUGGAAUUACACAGCCAAUACACCACCUGCUUUUGCCAUUUGUUGGUUGCUUAGAGUGAGGAAGUAUAAAGAAAGUUGGGGUACAGCAGGAGAGUCAGAACAGCACAUUUUGAUAUAAAGGAAGAACAUUAGGGAGCAGAAGACAUCUUGAAUUACAGAAGAAGUAAAGACUUUUUCUCUCUUUAUCAUCAUACCAACAGAGGCGUAACUAUAGGGGGGGCAGGGGGGGCACGUGCCCCAGGUGCCAUCUUUUCUGGUCACGUGGGGGGCGCCACCAUGACCAAAUUUUUAAAAAAUUUGUAAAAAAAUUUUGUUAAUACAAAUGUUUCCUGCUCAGUGCAGCAGCGCUGCAGCAGUCAAGGGAGCGCAUCGGUGCCCCCUUCCCCACGAGCGGUCCCUUCCGCGCUGCCUGCGCCCCCCCCAUUGCUUUGCUGGCGCCUGGCGGCCAGUCAGUGGCCUGGCUUGGCGGCGGCGGCGGGUGCUUGUGAGGAAAAACCUAAAUCUAAUGUAGUAUG